This 492-nucleotide ribosomal RNA is filed under the name uncultured bacterium. Its description in RNAcentral is "partial 16S ribosomal RNA". It matches the Rfam family "Bacterial small subunit ribosomal RNA", at positions 29 to 507 of the family's 1533-position model. The record is from RNAcentral.
AGUGAACGCUGGCGGUAGGCCUAACACAUGCAAGUCGAACGGCAGCACAGUAAGAGCUUGCUCUUACGGGUGGCGAGUGGCGGACGGGUGAGGAAUACAUCGGAAUCUACUUUUUCGUGGGGGAUAACGUAGGGAAACUUACGCUAAUACCGCAUACGACCUACGGGUGAAAGCAGGGGAUCUUCGGACCUUGCGCGAUUGAAUGAGCCGAUGUCGGAUUAGCUAGUUGGCGGGGUAAAGGCCCACCAAGGCGACGAUCCGUAGCUGGUCUGAGAGGAUGAUCAGCCACACUGGAACUGAGACACGGUCCAGACUCCUACGGGAGGCAGCAGUGGGGAAUAUUGGACAAUGGGCGCAAGCCUGAUCCAGCCAUACCACGUGGGUGAAGAAGGCCUUCGGGUUGUAAAGCCCUUUUGUUGGGAAAGAAAAGCAGCAGGUUAAUACCCCGCUGUUCUGACGGUACCUAAAGAAUAAGCACCGGCUAACUUCGUG